Molecule: long non-coding RNA, 1396 nt
Organism: Coregonus clupeaformis (lake whitefish)
Lineage: Eukaryota; Metazoa; Chordata; Actinopteri; Salmoniformes; Salmonidae
Exons: 2
Source: RefSeq, a predicted model, not a curated record
GGGAGAUCAAGACAUUAAAAGAGACUUAUUAUCACAUCAAAUGUGGAUAUAUAUAUAUAUAUAUGGGUGAUUCUUUAACUAUGGUACUUUUCUUGUCCCUGGAUGAAAUAAUAAAAACUAAAAAACAUUUCUUCUUUUUUGUUUUUGUCAUACUUACUCCACCCUAAGGGGAACUUAUAAAAAAUGUAUCAUGGCUCAAUCAUUAUUUUUAUUAUAUAAUAUGAGGCCUUUUAUGCAUGGUUUUUACUGUUUUCCCUCUGUCCCUAAGCCAGACUUUGUAUCUUCAACCUCGCUUAAUUCUAAAUUAAAUAUUUAAAUAAUGUAGAUUUCAAGUACAAAUGAUAAAAUACCAUUUAUUUCAAUUCUACAUAUUAUAUAUUGUGAUACAUAUUCACAUUUUUCUAUAUUUUUCAUAAAUAGAACCCUUGUCCCUUGGGGUCACUGUCAUUUCCACCACACUGUACAAAAUAGAAUCCUGGGAUCAGUGUUUUAGGUUUGUAUAUUUAGUAACCAUAGCAACAGAAACUCCACAGUGGAACACAUGGCUGGAUGAAAUGGUGUCCUCUACAGGGGGUAAUGAAAAGAAGAAAAAUCAAGAUGGCAAGCAAUACCACAGCACAGAGGUCAAGAUCAUACAGAGAAAGAAUAAAAUCAGAUCCACUUAAAUAUGCAGAGUCCCUCAAGAAGGACAGAGAAAGAUACCUGAAGAAAAAGCAACAAGGUGUUGUUAAAUCUGUGACAGAAAUGCCGAAAAGAGAACAACGAAAAAUGAGAAGACAGUGGCGAAUUUCUCAACGAAACAGACGUAGGAAAUGGAAAAUGGUCUCAGCAGUGAAUAGUUUCAUGGCACAUACAACACCACCACCAUCACCAGACAACAUGAGUGUUAAUGCAGAAGACAUCCCUGAAACACCUCAGCUGUGUGAGCCUACACCAGAGAGAACUCCACAGAGGAAAAGAGGGAGAAAAAAGGUUGCGAAGGCAAAAGCAAAGGUGUACAGUUCAAGCACACUUACCAGCACAUCUCAACCCAUCAUAGACCUGCAUGAGGGACUGAUUGGAAGUUGGUGUGUGGUACGGUAUGAUGGGGAUCCUUACCCUGGCAUUAUACAGGAUGUGGACCCUGAGGGUUGUGCUCUGGUGAGAACCAUGAGUCAUAUUGGCAAAAACAAGUUCUUCUGGCCUAUGAGAGACGAUGUUAUUUGGUACCGGCCAGAAGAUGUGAUCAGGCUGGUCCCAGAGCCUCAACCAGUAACAAAGAGGCAUGUGAUGGUGGAGCCAACAGUUUGGAAAGAAAUAUGCUCUGUUCUUGACCAUGAAACAUAACUGAACCUCUGGCCCAUAUGCAAGUUUGACAGAUACAGUAUUUAGCAAAUACAAUGUCUAUUUAGUCAGA